RNAcentral lists this ribosomal RNA (115 nucleotides) under Staphylococcus intermedius. RNAcentral describes it as "partial 23S ribosomal RNA". It matches the Rfam family "Bacterial large subunit ribosomal RNA", at positions 2810 to 2925 of the family's 2925-position model. Lineage: Bacteria; Bacillati; Bacillota; Bacilli; Caryophanales; Staphylococcaceae. The record is from RNAcentral.
AUUUCCCAACUUCGGUUAUAAGAUCCCUCAAAGAUGAUGAGGUUAAUAGGUUCGAGGUGGAAGCGUAGCGAUACGUGGAGCUGACGAAUACUAAUCGAUCGAAGACUUAAUCAAA